RNAcentral lists this small RNA (1252 nucleotides) under Pan troglodytes (chimpanzee). RNAcentral's name for it is "processed transcript". The record is from RNAcentral. Lineage: Eukaryota; Metazoa; Chordata; Mammalia; Primates; Hominidae.
GGUCUGGGCUACCGGCGCGGCGUAGUGGAUGCAGCAUCCUAGUUGAGGACGCCCCGCUGGGGCAAGGAAGUCUGCAGACCCCAAGAGACACUGUGAUCAUCCAGCUUGGGCUCACAAGAAAACCCACGUGCGGCGAGAAAGAGCCAGGGAAGGAAGCAGCUUUAGGAAGGGCUUCAGGCUGGACACGGAUGACGGGCAGCUUCCCAGAGCUGCUCCAGAAAGGACAGACGCCAAGCCCACGGCUUUCCCGUGUCAGGUGCUCACGCGGUGUUGUGGGCGGCGGCCGGGCCGCAGAGAGCGCCGGAAGCAGCGCGCAGUAGAGCUGUCGUUCAUCUGCGGCACGUGCGGGAAGGCGCUCAGCUGCCACAGCCGGCUGCUCGCUCACCAGACGGUGCACACGGGAACCAAGGCCUUCGAGUGCCCCGAGUGCGGCCAGACCUUCCGGUGGGCUUCAAACCUGCAGCGCCACCAGAAGAACCACACGCGCGAGAAGCCCUUCUGCUGCGAGGCCUGCGGGCAGGCGUUCAGCCUGAAGGACCGCCUGGCUCAGCACCGCAAGGUCCACACCGAGCACAGGCCCUACUCGUGUGGCGACUGUGGGAAAGCCUUCAAGCAGAAGUCCAACCUUCUCAGACACCAGCUGGUGCACACCGGGGAGCGGCCGUUCUACUGCGCGGACUGCGGCAAAGCCUUCCGGACCAAGGAGAACCUCAGCCACCACCAGAGGGUCCACAGCGGGGAGAAGCCCUACACCUGUGCCGAGUGCGGCAAGUCCUUCCGCUGGCCCAAGGGCUUCAGCAUCCACCGGAGGCUGCACCUGACGAAGAGAUUCUACCAGUGCGGCCACUGUGGGAAAGGCUUCCGUCACCUGGGGUUCUUCACGCGGCAUCAGAGGACUCACAGGCACGGGGAGGUGUAGGGGCGCCCGAAGCGUGGGGUGCUGCGCCUCUGCGGGAGUACUGGGCCCUGAGGGAGAGCUGCAGUGAGAAGUUGCUCUUCAGCCUGGAAAAUCAACCUGAAUUCAGAGAAGCCUUCUUAGUCCUCAGAGCUCCCCAGUCCCCUGAGAAGUUUACUGGGAAAACUGCUAGGUCCUGCACACCCAUGAAGCGACUGACCCAGCUGGUCUGAAGCACCCCACGAGGAGGUACCUCAGAACCCAGGCCAGAUCCACACAAGGCUCUCGGUCAGUCCCAGAUGGAAGCUCCAGUCCCAGGCCGUGACAUGCAUCAGCUCCCACACCCAAGAUUGUCCC